AUUGAACGCUGGCGGCAUGCUUUACACAUGCAAGUCGAACGGCAGCACGGGUGCUUGCACCUGGUGGCGAGUGGCGAACGGGUGAGUAAUGCAUCGGAACGUGCCCAUGAGUGGGAGAUAGCCCGGCGAAAGCCGGAUUAAUACCGCAUACGCCCUUAGGGGGAAAGCGGGGGAUCUUCGGACCUCGCGCUAUUGGAGCGGCCGAUGUCGGAUUAGCUAGUAGGUGAGGUAAAGGCUCACCUAGGCGACGAUCCGUAGCUGGUCUGAGAGGAUGAUCAGCCACACUGGGACUGAGACACGGCCCAGACUCCUACGGGAGGCAGCAGUGGGGAAUUUUGGACAAUGGGCGCAAGCCUGAUCCAGCCAUGCCGCGUGAGUGAAGAAGGCCUGCGGGUUGUAAAGCACUUUCAGUGGGGAAGAACGGGCGAGGGUUAAUACCCCUAGCCACUGACGUUACCCACAGAAGAAGCACCGGCUAACUCCGUG
RNAcentral lists this ribosomal RNA (486 nucleotides) under uncultured bacterium. RNAcentral describes it as "bacterial SSU rRNA". It matches the Rfam family "Bacterial small subunit ribosomal RNA", at positions 29 to 507 of the family's 1533-position model. The record is from RNAcentral.